GGGCAGCUGGGCGCGAGGGGGUGGGGGGGAGCGCUCCGCUUCGAGUCAUGAUUGGCUGUGCUUUGCCAGCUCAAGAGCCAAUGGGAGGGCGGCGUUCGCGGCGCUCGUCACCAGUCGCUUGGGGGAGUGGAUAUGGACAUCCAAUUAGGAACGUCAUUGUGCAUCUUCUCUCAGAGCUGAAAAGAAGCUUCAGCAUUCAGGUCUAGCAGAAAAUUCUACUCAAACAGCCACCAACUGCACUAGGUCCCAGGUGACGGCAUGGAGGAGGAAGAUGAAUCAUUUGGAUUCUGCUGCCAUGGACUGACUUAUCUCUGACUUAUCUCUGAAACAACUGAUGCGUGCUCAGAGAUGUGGCCUGCAGCCCCCGCUCCAGGACGGCUUCCCAACACGACGCCUCUUCUGCCUCCACCUCCUGUGAGCAUCGUCUUUGUCAGCACGCAGUCCGGUGCACCCGAAGCUGGUUAUUGGCUAUAUGUGAGUUGUAGCUGUAUAGGCGAUGAGGAGACUGACCCUGUCCGCAGCCAUAGCUACAUGACCGUGAGGUACCUAUCUGCAUACGCUGAAGGUG
Molecule: long non-coding RNA, 568 nt
Organism: Chroicocephalus ridibundus (black-headed gull)
Lineage: Eukaryota; Metazoa; Chordata; Aves; Charadriiformes; Laridae
Exons: 4
Source: RefSeq, a predicted model, not a curated record